Molecule: non-coding RNA, 2094 nt
Organism: Misgurnus anguillicaudatus (oriental weatherfish)
Lineage: Eukaryota; Metazoa; Chordata; Actinopteri; Cypriniformes; Cobitidae
Source: RefSeq, a predicted model, not a curated record
UGUAAAAAAUUUCUGUAAAUUUACAGGGAAAUUCAACAGCAAAAUGCUGUUUUCGUGUAAUAACAGUAAGUUGCUGUUUUUUACAGUGCAUUGUGGGUAGACUCGCUCACUUCAGGUCUGUUGUCGAGCAACAACAGAAUGUUACUGUUAUUUAACAGUAUUAUAGCAUAUUUUUCGUUGUGCACGCCAUUUUGGAUUGUCUGCAUGAGGUAGGUCUGCAGCUUUAUCGAUGCUUGUGCUAAUUUUAAAUUACAUAUUACUUUAAAAUAUUGCAUUUUAUCCAGUGAAGCUUUUCAAAAAUAAAUCAGAUUUAAUUUCCUAUUUUAAUCAGGCAAAGCGGGUAUUAUACCAUCACAUCAGUUACACUCACAUCAGAUCACAGGGUUAUUUUGGUGCUUUGGUGCUAUUUUUGUCCUUAUUCCCUUUUCGUGCAUUGUGUAGACAAACAAAUAUUACAGAUAUUAUUAAGGUGAGUAAAAGAUGAGAGAGUAUUAUUUUGUAUAACCAUUCAUGUUGUGAGUAAAAUGUAUAUUGCCUCUAUGAAAUAUUAUCAAGUCUUUUUGCAGAUGUUAAUUAUCAUAAAUUGUUAUCUUUGCUAAUAGAUGUGUGCCACUCCUGCUGACUUUAAGAAGACUAGUAACACUCACCUGUGACACCUUGUUUGAUCCUGUUUGCAUCUUUGGCUAUAUUCUUGGCGAGAACCGGUUAAUGAUAACAUCUUCAACUUGCAAAAAGUGAGAGCAGCAUCCACACUGGAAGUCCUUUAAAGACGCUUCAUUAAAAUCAUACCGGGAACCAAGGCUGCAAAGGGAAAAGUGACCUCUAAAACAGGAAAACUGCAAAAGAAGACCAUCAACAGUCAGUCUCAAACUAUCAAAUCUUUUAAAAAGACUUAUGGACUUUGAGUGGUACUUCAUUUAAAAUGUAGCUGACACUUCCCACCAAUACAGUUUUUUUUUUUAAAUAUGGUGGGCUGAAGUAAUGGCAGGUGACUUUUCUGAGGAGGCACGAAUGCAUAUCUAGCCAAAACAUUAUCAUGUGUGUGGCUCGUCAUUUCAAGAUGUGCGUUCGGCGCGUCAUGUGAACCUGUGCAUCGCGUGUCAUGUCAAAAUACGUGCCUGCUCCAGACACUUUGAAGGGGAUUAUAAUAAAAGAGAUGCUCGCUUUUGCCAUAGUAGCUUAAUCUCAUGUGUAAUCAGAGUUUAGUGUUAAAUGAGUGUCUUGCAAGUAUCAUGUAAAUGUCUCUUUUAUUCUUUAUCAUAUUCAAAGCGUUUGGGGCAGGCACGUAUUUUGACAUGAUGUGUGAUCCAUAUAGGUUCACAUUACACUCCAUUCCACUGGUGGGGUGGUGUUUUUAAUACUGGUUUGUAUAUUAUAGACCAUGUUUUCAUAUUUAAAAUUGGGCUGGUGUCUGUUAAAGAAUUAGCAAAUUAAUGUUUUAUUGAAUUCUUUUAAAAAUGUGGUGUUUUUACAGUUGUUAAACUUUUGUGCUUUUUUUAAAUCAAAAUUUUAAACUACAUUUGUAUUUUAAGUAAAGAUAAGGCAUCUCAAUAUUGUUCUUUGUUUGUUAGAUUUUUUGUGUCAUUUUUGUAUUAUAUGUUAUUGGUGCCUUUUAAUUGCACCACAGUUUAUGCACUGAAUAUUAAAAUAUAUCUGCUUGUAUUUCUGCCUGUUUUAUGGCAUAACAAACAUAGCAUAACAGUCAAUCUGGUGUUGAAUAAAGAAUAAAAAAUUCAUAACCUGUCCUUUUUUGUUUUAUGUUAUCCACUUUGACAAAUAUAAAAUGCAGGGUGUAAUAGCAUUUAAAUUUUAAAAUAAUGGAGGUGUGACUAAUAUGUACUGUAAAUUAACAGGUAUAUGAUGCUAAAUAACAGUUUUAUGCUGUAGAUAACAAAAACAGUAUCAUGCUAUUAAAUAACAGCUGUAUUCUGUAGAUAACAAAAACAGUACCAUGCUGUUAAAAUAACAGUUGACUGCUGUAGGUAACAAAACAGUAUCAUGCUGUUUUUUCUAAUAACAGUAUCCCGCUGUAAAUUAACAGUGCAAUGCUGGCAACCACAGCUUCCAGCAUAAUACCGUUUUUUUACAGGGAAA